This is a long non-coding RNA of Quercus lobata, 867 nucleotides long. RefSeq lists it as uncharacterized. The record is from RefSeq and is a predicted model, not a curated record. The transcript is spliced from 4 exons. Lineage: Eukaryota; Viridiplantae; Streptophyta; Magnoliopsida; Fagales; Fagaceae.
UAAGCAUAAUUUAAAUAUUUGCUAAUGUAACUCAUAUAUAUGUGUGCUUCCUUUUCUUUUCUGUGUCUAUGCUGUUUAUGUCUGAAAAUGUCAAUGUUGUAAGGGUUGGAUAUGGGUUAUUUUAGCAGGGGGAAAAGAGGCUGUUUCUUUGGCUAUCCAGACGGCAGAGAGGUUCCGGACUGAUCUCCUUAGACGAGGUGUUCUUUUAGUCCCUGUAAUCUGGGGUCAAGGUACGGCACCACAAGUUGAGAAGAAAGGUUUUGGUGUCCCUCGAAAGGCAGCCGAUGCUCUUCCUUCUAUUGGGGAAGAUUUCGAGAAACGGGCUCAGUCUAAAACUACAAGAUCAAAGUUGAAAGCUGAAAUUCGAUUUAAGGCUGAGAUUGUAUCGCCUGCAGAAUGGGAAAGUCUAGGUGGAUAAGGGAUCAGCAGAAGUCUGAAGGAGUUACUCCCGGUGAGGACGUCUACAUUAUACUGCGCCUAGAUGGUCGGGUCCGAAGAUCAGGGAAGGGCAUGCCUGACUGGCAACAAAUAUUGCAGGAGCUGCCACCAUUGGAGGCAAUACUAAGCAAGCUAGGAAGAUAGGAAGAGUUUCUUGCAUCAUCCGAGUCUUACAUAACAGAAUUUUGAGCCAAGACACAUGCCAUUUUUUACUCUAUAAUUGUUAUUAUAAUUUCCAUCCCAUCCUUGAUGAUACCACAUGAGACCAUUUCUAUUGUAUAAUUUUCUACACCCAGGACCCUAUAGUUGGUCCUUUGACACUGCUCAAAAAUCUUUUACAUUCUUUCAUUUGUCCUAAACAUUAAUGUAUUAUAACUUUUCAUAGCAAUUUUUGAAAAAGGAGAAGUAGAUAUUGGUAUUUGGAAGUGA